Molecule: ribosomal RNA, 237 nt
Filed under: uncultured bacterium
Lineage: Bacteria
Description: partial 16S ribosomal RNA
Rfam family: Bacterial small subunit ribosomal RNA
Source: RNAcentral
CCGGCACGGGUGAGUAACACGUAUCCAACCUGCCGUCUACUCUUGGACAGCCUUCUGAAAGGAAGAUUAAUACAAGAUGGCAUCAUGAGUCCGCAUGUUCACAUGAUUAAAGGUAUUCCGGUAGACGAUGGGGAUGCGUUCUAUUAGAUAGUAGGCGGGGUAACGGCCCACCUAGUCUUCGAUGGAUAGGGGUUCUGAGAGGAAGGUCCCCCACAUUGGAACUGAGACACGGUCCAA